RNAcentral lists this transfer RNA (73 nucleotides) under Bos indicus (zebu cattle). It matches the Rfam family "tRNA". From Rfam's summary of the family: Transfer RNA (tRNA) molecules are approximately 80 nucleotides in length. RNAcentral also lists the same sequence under 3 other names. Lineage: Eukaryota; Metazoa; Chordata; Mammalia; Artiodactyla; Bovidae. The record is from Rfam by way of RNAcentral.
UCCACGGUGGUCCAGUGGUUAGGACUCAGUGCUUUCACUGCUGAGGACCUGGGUUCAAUCCCUGGUCAGGGAA